GAGAGUUCGAUUCGGUCCACGGGGUCGGCGGGAAACCCAUAUGGGAUAGCGGGGGGGUCUUUGACGCAUGCGUCGGGCUGAGGGUGGACCCUUGGGUCUAACACCGCGUAUGUCCUAUCCGUGCUUGUUCUGGAGUGGAAAGAUUUAUCGGUGCUUGAUGGGCCCGCGGCCUUUCCUGUUGUUGGAGAGGUAACGGCUCACCAAGGCGACGACGGGUAGCCGACCUGAGAGGGUGACCGGCCACACUGGGACUGAGACACGGCCCAGACUCCUACGGGAGGCAGCAGUGGGGAAUAUUGCACAAUGGGCGCAAGCCUGAUGCAGCGACGCCGCGUGCGGGAUGACGGCCUUCGGGUUGUAAACCGCUUUUGACAGGGACGAAGCGCAAGUGACUGUACCUGUAGAAUAGGGACCGGCCAACUACGUGCCAGCAGCCGCGGUAAUACGUAGGGUCCGAGCGUUGUCCGGAAUUACUGGGCGUAAAGAGCUUGUAGGCGGUUCGUCGCGUCGUUUGUGAAAACCUGGGGCUCAACCUUAAGCUUGCAGGCGAUACGGGCGGACUAGAGUACUUCAGGGGAGACUGGAAUUCCUGGUGUAGCGGUGAAAUGCGCAGAUAUCAGGAGGAACACCGGUGGCGAAGGCGGGUCUCUGGGGAGUAACUGACGCUGAGAAGCAAAAGCAUGGGUAGCAAACAGGAUUAGAUACCUUGGUAGUCCAUGCCGUAAACGGUGGGUACUAGGUGUGGGGCUCCUUCCACGGACUCCGUGCCGUAGCUAACGCAUUAAGUACCCCGCCUGGGGAGUACGGCCGCAAGGCUAAAACUCAAAUGAAUUGACGGGG
This 840-nucleotide ribosomal RNA is filed under the name uncultured Actinomycetes bacterium. RNAcentral describes it as "bacterial SSU rRNA". It matches the Rfam family "Bacterial small subunit ribosomal RNA", at positions 84 to 918 of the family's 1533-position model. Lineage: Bacteria; Bacillati; Actinomycetota; Actinomycetes. The record is from RNAcentral.